Non-coding RNA from Schistosoma haematobium, 78 nucleotides. The record is from Rfam. NCBI's taxonomy places the organism in Eukaryota, Metazoa, Platyhelminthes, Trematoda, Strigeidida, Schistosomatidae.
AGCUUUUUGAAUCCGUACUGAGAUUUUGCCAGACACCAACCCAUUAGGGCUGAUCAGGCUUCUAAGAUAAGCGAAGUC